RNAcentral lists this ribosomal RNA (253 nucleotides) under uncultured bacterium. Its description in RNAcentral is "partial 16S ribosomal RNA". It matches the Rfam family "Bacterial small subunit ribosomal RNA", at positions 524 to 776 of the family's 1533-position model. The record is from RNAcentral.
GACGAAGGGGGCUAGCGUUGUUCGGAAUUACUGGGCGUAAAGCGCGUGUAGGCGGUUGUUCAAGUCAGGUGUGAAAGCCUUGAGCUCAACUCAAGAAAUGCACUUGAUACUGGAUGACUAGAGGACCGGAGAGGAUAGUGGAAUUCCCAGUGUAGUGGUGAAAUACGUAGAGAUUGGGAAGAACACCAGUGGCGAAGGCGGCUAUCUGGACGGUUUCUGACGCUGAUGCACGAAGGUCAGGGGAGCAAACGGG